AUGCGAACUCAGGUGGGCAAACUUUUCCGCCCAGAGCUGCAGGGAAACGCAGACCAUGGAGCCCCAAAGAGCAUUUACCUGCAGCGAUGGCCCCGCAGUCUCCAGAGCCCAGGCGAGGCGCUGCCCCCGCGCCCUGCCCGAGGGCGCCUCGGAAAGCGCCCCCCGCCAGCCGCCGCCCGGAGUCCGGAAGGCUCUCCCCGGCGAUGCCAACGCCUGGCGGCGGCAGGACUGAAGCCAGGCUUUAGGGGGUGGAGCUGCGGCCGCGCGCCCGGGCCGGGCUGGCUGCGCCCUCAGCGGGUGACGCCCCCGCUCCCCCCGCUCCCCCCGCGCCUCCCCCCUGCCACUGGAUCCCCGCCUGCCCACCUCCCGGCCCGGCUCGCGGCGGCCGCAUCACAUGGCGAGGCCCGCCCGCCUGCCUCGCCCGACACCGGCUCCAGGAGGAAACCUGAAGCUGCCCCGACCGCGCUGUCUCCGCCAGCCCCCUCCCGCUGCGGGGCGGCGGCCGGUGGCCUCGGCUUCCCUCCCCCGGCCCGGAGCUCUGAGGCACGGAGGCUGGCGCGGACCUGCCGGGCCACUGGAGGGCCAGUUGCGCCCCGGGCGCCUCCACGCCUCGGCGCCUCCCGAGGAAGGCGCUGGGCUGCCGGCUCGCAAAAGGAGUUGUGCCAGGCCCAAGGGAGGCUCAGGGUGUUCCCAGCCAAAAGCCACCACACCCGUGACAUAAUACGGCCCAGGUCUAUUACAAUAGGAAAUAUUAUUUUUAAAAACAGCAUUUGCCCUCUAUUUGAAGCUCAUGUUCUCCGGCCGAGCUUUGCAAGCUGCGAUUCCCUUCACGUUUAUCCACGCAAGUGGCUGCAAGUCUUAAUUCAAAAACGUAUGAAAACCAUAACCACUUUUACAAUGAACAGCAAUGUGAAGGGGACUCCCUUAUCCUCCAAAGCGGUUUUCCUCUUAGAUGUGAUGACAACCCCAAGAGCAGAAGCCAAGCCUCUUCAUCAGCCAGGCUUUCAUCAUACAGACUUAAGACCAUUGUUACAGCUUUAA
Molecule: long non-coding RNA, 1041 nt
Filed under: Papio anubis (olive baboon)
Lineage: Eukaryota; Metazoa; Chordata; Mammalia; Primates; Cercopithecidae
Description: lncRNA (ENSPANG00000049715.1)
Source: RNAcentral